RNAcentral lists this long non-coding RNA (1279 nucleotides) under Olea europaea subsp. europaea. Lineage: Eukaryota; Viridiplantae; Streptophyta; Magnoliopsida; Lamiales; Oleaceae. The record is from RNAcentral.
AGAUCGGCCUGCAUAGGGAGCAGGGCUUUGUAAGAUUCUGACAGAAUGCUGAAUAAAAUGUUCAAAAAUAGGAAGUCUUUUUUUUUAUUGAUGUGAUUGGCAUUAGAAGCGAGUUUUAUGGACUUUCCCGUCCACCGAUAGAACUACUUGAGGUGUUUGGCAUUCCAAGGAUGGGGUAAGGGUCUACCCUCCAAGUUUUCCAGUUCAUAUGCCUUCUUUGGCAAGACCUCUGUCACCAGAUAGGGGCCUUCCCAGUUUGGACCCAGGCAUUCAUUGCCUACCUCUCUUUGUGAGGAUCUGACCUCGAAUACAUAUGUUCGCCAUAUGCACUGUCGGGGGAUUGUGUUGAUGAUUGGUACAGGCUUUCCACUGACAUCUUUCGGCGAGCUCCCUGUUCUCUGUGACUUCAUCCACACCAUGGGGUGUGGGAAAUUUGAUAGAAUAGUGAUAUAGGAAAACUGCUGCUCUCAGGCUGAAGAGUAGGGGUUGUCCCAUCAUAGCAUCAUAAGGGGAGGGAGUGUCGAAUACCACGAAUUCGGAGUUUGUCUUCACCUUCCAGGGUGCUGAUCCUGACUCAAUUUUGAGUUUGAUUGAUCCUUUGGCAGAGGUCAAGGCUCCGCUUAAUGCUAGGACCAUAUUCAGGUAUGGUCGAAGGAAGUUAGCAGGGAUACCCAUCCAUUUAAGGGUAUUACUGAAUAGGAUGUUAGGAGCGCUUCCUGUAUCCACCAAGACUUUGGGGAUGGUUACCUCGACCACAGGCAACGAGAUAACCAGAACUCCGGGGUAAGGAUGUGGGUCCGCCUCCUUCUCCUCAAAGGACAGUUGCUCAUCUGUGGCUUUUUUGAGGUUCUUCUCAGUUAUGUCGAUCUCCGAGAGAUUCGUAUUAGCUGGUCUUUUCAAUCUGGCCUCCCCGACUUGCAUGUUCGUCCUGCCCCUUAGCAUGUUGACUUGUGGCCUUGGCAGGUCGACAUUGCAGGCCCUUGCAACAGCUUGAUCCCCUUGGAUAAUUCCUGUCCCAUAAGGAGUGGGAAAUUUCAUGCAAUAAUGAUAAAUUGAGGUGGCAGCUUUCAGUUCGUGCAAAAUGGGUCGUCCCAAUAUUGCAUUAUAAUUGGAUGGCAAAUCGACCACCACAAAAUCUGCUAGGAUCUUUCUUUGGCUAGAAGCUUCGCCCAGCUCCAUGAUAAGGACGAUCUGACCUCGGGCUUCAAUAGGAUCCCCAGAAAAUCCCUGUAGUUUCUUUGGAUAUGGUUGGAGAUAGCGUUCUGAUAUUUUCAACUGC